CCUACGGGAGGCUGCAGUCGGGAAUAUUGCGCAAUGGAGGAAACUCUGACGCAGUGACGCCGCGUAUAGGAAGAAUGUUUUCGGAUUGUAAACUAUUUUCGUGAGGGAAGAAAUUGACAGUACCUCAGCAUUAUGCUCCGGCCAACUUUGUGCCAGCAGCCGCGGUAAUACAUAGGGAGCAAGCGUUAUCCGGAUUGAUGGGGUGUAAAGGGGGCGUAGAUGGGAAAUUAAGUUAGUUGUGAAAUGCCUCGGCUUAACUGAGGAACUGCAACUGAAACUGACUGUCUUGAGUACUGGAGAGGAAAGUGGAAUGCGUGGUGUAGCGGUGAAAUGCGUAGAUAUUAGGAAGAACACCAGUGGCGAAGGCGACUUUCUGGACAGUAACUGACAUUGAGGCACGAAAGUGUGGGGAGCAAACAGGAUUAGAUACCCCAGUAGUC
Molecule: ribosomal RNA, 440 nt
Filed under: uncultured bacterium
Lineage: Bacteria
Description: partial 16S ribosomal RNA
Rfam family: Bacterial small subunit ribosomal RNA
Source: RNAcentral